AUUCCAGCUCCAAUAGCGUAUAUUAAAGUUGUUGCAGUUAAAAAGCUCGUAGUUGGAUUUGUGGUGGUUCCUAUGGUCCAAAAUGUUUUGGUACUAUCAGGCUCUGCCAUCCUUGGGUGGAACCUGUGGGGCAUUAGGUUGUUUUGCGGGGGAUGCCCAUCGUUUACUGUGAAAAAAUUAGAGUGUUCAAAGCAGGCUUAUGCCGUUGAAUAGAUUAGCAUGGAAUAAUAAAAUAGGACUUUGGUACUAUUUUGUUGGUUUGCGUACUGAAGUAAUGAUUAAUAGGGACAGUUGGGGGUAUUCGUAUUCCAUUGUCAGAGGUGAAAUUCUUGGAUUUUUGGAAGACGAACUACUGCGAAAGCAUUUACCAAGGAUGUUUUC
Molecule: ribosomal RNA, 381 nt
Filed under: Pinnularia sp. JZ-2014
Lineage: Eukaryota; Bacillariophyta; Bacillariophyceae; Sellaphorales; Pinnulariaceae
Description: SSU rRNA
Rfam family: Eukaryotic small subunit ribosomal RNA
Source: RNAcentral